CCCGGGGGUAGAGGCCGCACGGGGCCCCCGGAGGGGUCCGCCCUGGCCGCCCCCUAUGCUGCCACCUGAUUAGUCCUGUCUUGUUCUCUCCUGGAGUCCGGGGCUUUCGGAAGCCAACAUGGAAAUGUGGGCAGAUCGGAUGCAAAUGUGACCCCCGAGCCAAGAAUCUACUUCUUUUCUGUUAAAAUUCAAGAUGGGGAGGGAGCCUGCGGGGCAAAGGCGCCAGGAGGGUCAGGAACCGAGGUCACACAACCCUAGACGGAGAGUGAGGAUUGAGCAUCGCGGAGUGAAAACGGCCUCAGAGAAGACCCGCUGCGAACCAAGAGGUGAAGGAGAGGACAAAGCACUGGAUUUAAGGUGUUGUAAACAUCAACUGAUUGACUUCAGCCAUGCCAUCCCUGUGCCUCAGUUUCCACGUGUGGGGAAGGACGGCUAGUUCUCUGACUCACGGCCGUCAAAGCCCCAGCAAAAUGAUUUUGCAGCCUUCUGGACACACCUUAUCUCAAUGGUCUUCUGGAUCUGUACUUCGCUGACAUGCUUAGGAAUUCGCUCCUGCUCCUGCUCCACAGCAAACAACGGAGCCUCGCUCAGUUUCUAGCUGGUUGGUAUGAGCUCAGGACAUUGUCACUUCUAAACACUGUGGGGAAAAGAAGGGCUCUUUCAAGCAUCCCAGCCUGUAAUUUUUCAUUUCACGACUUUUGGUUUCUAUCUGUAAGCCAGACCUUUUGGAAUCUUAUUCCCAGACCGAUCCAAUCUAUCUAAAUAAACCAGAGCAUUGGGGGCCUUGAUUGUCUCUUCUAGGCAGCUAGCUGGUUUUUGACGGCUCAUCAUUCUUUGCUGCUGCUUUCUUUGUUCUGGAUCGACCCUCACAAUGAACGGCUUCUCCUUUGGAAGCCCUACCUGCCCUCUGACUGUGCUUGGGUGGGAAGGGCAGGGUUGCUGGCUUGGUUUAUUUCCUUAUCUCCUGCAGAGCUGUUGUCAAAUUCUUCUCCAGAGUCCAGAAACCCUGGAUCACUGAGUUAGCCUCCUGCCAGCUCUAGAAUGGCCACACUAGCACCAGCCCUGUUCGUCAUCCUGGUGAGUCUUCCCGUGUGUUUUCUUUGCUACUUUUUUUUUUCCAGUUUGCCA
RNAcentral lists this long non-coding RNA (1128 nucleotides) under Ornithorhynchus anatinus (platypus). Its description in RNAcentral is "lncRNA (ENSOANG00000050007.1)". The record is from RNAcentral. Lineage: Eukaryota; Metazoa; Chordata; Mammalia; Monotremata; Ornithorhynchidae.